This 481-nucleotide ribosomal RNA is filed under the name uncultured bacterium. RNAcentral describes it as "partial 16S ribosomal RNA". It matches the Rfam family "Bacterial small subunit ribosomal RNA", at positions 29 to 523 of the family's 1533-position model. The record is from RNAcentral.
ACGAACGCUGGCGGCGCGCCUAACACAUGCAAGUCGAACGAGCGAGAGAGAGCUUGCUUUCUCGAGCGAGUGGCGAACGGGUGAGUAACGCGUGAGGAACCUGCCUCAAAGAGGGGGACAACAGUUGGAAACGACUGCUAAUACCGCAUAAGCCCACGACCCGGCAUCGGGUAGAGGGAAAAGGAGCAAUCCGCUUUGAGAUGGCCUCGCGUCCGAUUAGCUAGUUGGUGAGGUAACGGCCCACCAAGGCGACGAUCGGUAGCCGGACUGAGAGGUUGAACGGCCACAUUGGGACUGAGACACGGCCCAGACUCCUACGGGAGGCAGCAGUGGGGAAUAUUGCACAAUGGGGGAAACCCUGAUGCAGCGACGCCGCGUGGAGGAAGAAGGUCUUCGGAUUGUAAACUCCUGUUGUUGAGGAAGAUAAUGACGGUACUCAACAAGGAAGUGACGGCUAACUACGUGCCAGCAGCCGCAGUAA